This 157-nucleotide non-coding RNA is filed under the name unclassified sequences. RNAcentral's name for it is "DUF2800 RNA". It matches the Rfam family "DUF2800 RNA". From Rfam's summary of the family: Actinobacteria, Firmicutes, Synergistetes (1 example). The record is from RNAcentral.
CCGCCGAAUGUCGCAUCGGCUGAUCACCGAUGGCUCAACGGCUUCCGGCGGACAGGUUAAUAAAGUAGCUGCCUUUUGAGCGGGUUAGCUGCAGACCGAAACGGAGAGAUUCGUUUGGACUGCGGUAAGUUUCCCAUACCCGUUUUGCGGCAGCGCC